Non-coding RNA from Vicugna pacos (alpaca), 3129 nucleotides. Lineage: Eukaryota; Metazoa; Chordata; Mammalia; Artiodactyla; Camelidae. The record is from RefSeq and is a predicted model, not a curated record.
AAGGUGUUAAAAAACCACUCUUCAUCAACAGACCUCAGGAUAGUUUCCUCAGAAACUACGUUUGUCUGUUGUUUAGUGUUUUCGAGCAUCGUUACUUUCUCGCAGAAAAAAGCUUAGGAACUGGCUGACUCGGUUUGCCACCUGCGGUCUAGAAGCCCUGGCACUGGCUUCCACCCAACCUGGAAAAGGACCCAAAGCAGGAAUCAACAAACCCCGUGCUAUCAGGAGUCUGGGCGUGCGGCUGGUCAGGCAUUUGGAACCCGGAGUGAUUGCUCUUAACGGAAAUGGAAUGACGGGGCAUAAGUAAAUUCUCACCUACUUUCUCCUUCAUACACACUUAAGAAGGGGAAGCAGCGUGGUGUGGGGCAAGUCCCUGGAAUAUAUCUGCUUCCUCGGAUCUUACUUUAAAUGAAGAAGGUGUGGACUGGGGAGUCAAACCAACAGUAAGCUAUUCUGAGUCCCAGGAGGGCAAUUCGUGCUCUAGAAAUUGGUGCAGCUAAAGUGCUCGAUACAACUUGUUUCUUCUCUCACGGGUGUGGGUAAGAGGUACCAUCCUCGCUCGCUCACAUCAUACCUUUGGGAUUAGAGAGCAGUAAAGGUGGAUUUCCACGUUAGGUCCGGAACCCUGGAUGAAAAGGUAAAGGACUCGAGCCAGGAUAAGGUAGGUAGGUAGCUCCCCAUACUAGAACUUUAGCGCACGCUUUCUGAGUUAAGUCUGCUCAGUGACUACAUUUGCUGGAAAAAAAUCAAUCGUUGUAAGUAACCGGUCUAUGAGGAUCAGAGAAAAGAGCUGCCAAUGUGAUUCGACGGAGAAGGGAUAGUCUUUUAAACAAACAGCGCUGGAACAAUUUGCCUACGUAAAAGGAAGGAAACAAUGACUACACCACCACCACCACAUCAACAAGGAAAAAGAACUUAAUCCAUAGCUUGCACUACAUAGGAGGAUUAACUAGAAACGGGCUAAACGUAGAACAGAGUGGACCACAACAAUGUGCACGCACGUGCACACGCACAUGCACAUACCUGCACACACACGUGCUCACACGUGCAAACAGUAAUUUACAGUUUGGUCAUUGGCCAGCGCAAUGGAGAGAGAUUAGGUUUUGAGGAGAGGCAUGAGAUGUUAUUUUGCAUUCUAGGAAGUUAGCCUGGAUGUUAUAUGAUUAAUAGACUAACAGGUGGCAAGGGAAGUGGCAGAGAGACCGGGGGAGGUUAUUGUAGUUCUCCAGGUAAGGCCUGGUGGUGCCAGCGUCAGACAGAGUAGAAGGUGGUCAGAUUCCGCAUCUAUUUUGAAGCAGGGCUGAAAGGAUUUCUUGACUGACUGACUAUGCCACGCGGAAGAAAGAAAGGAUUCAAAGAUGGAUUCCAAGGUUUUCUUCCAGAGAAAAUGAAAGAAAUUGACAUCGACUUGGUGCAGAGGAUUGGGGGAAUUCGUAGAUUUUACAAUCAGUGGUGAUGUUUUUGACAUGUUGGAUUCUAAAUGCUUAUUAGAAAGCCAAGUGGAGGUAUUUCUUUUUUAACUUUAUUGAGGAAUAAUCGACAAAUAGAACUCUACAUGUGUUGCCUCGGUGAGUGCUCAAAAUUAGGAUAAAUAUUCGUCAGCCUUGUUCUGGGAUGCAGUUUCUGGGAAACAGCUUUAGUCCUUGGGUCUUGCUUUUCAGCCGUCUUGGUAGGACCAGUAAGAGCUAUUUCUGCUGAACUCGUGAGGCAAAGCCUUUUUGCGCAUCCUGCCGACACUGAGGGUUUCUCUAGGCUGUGAGUUGGAGACAGGCAUUAUGUUAUUCCCGUGUGAGCUGCGCAGGCUCUGUUUUCCUCUGUUCUUUUUAGAUGGCUCUUUUCUGAACCUUUGGUAGUGCAGUCCCCCCGCCACAUGCACACACGCGCGCACGCACACACACACACACACAUGCACACAGUGAUCAGUACUCAGUCAGAGACUCAAGGGGGGCCCUCUGCCGACCACGAGGGCUUCCGUCCUAUCCGGUGCUCCGUCUGGCGAGCGCUAGGGCUUUGGCCCCCCCUGGACCCCAGCUCUGAUUCCCCAGCUCAGAUUGCUGUGUUCUGGCUGGAGCCCUUCCCUUGCGCUGCAGCCCUGAAGCUCUCCCCAGAUGUUAACCUGGGGCAAGUGCAGGGCUUCCAGCACUUGUGUCCCCCUCUCAGGGGUCACCGUCCUUUGCUGUCUCAUAUCCAAUGACUUGAAAACCAUUGUUCCAUACAUUUUGUAUGUUGUUUUUUUCCCAUCAUUUCGGUCCCUAUCACUCUAUCUCAUUUGAAAAUGGAAGUCUGAAGACAUUCUUUUUUGUAGCAAAGUCCAUGCUUUGAAAUUCUUUUUUCACAAAUUUCAGUCCGUUUUAGUGAGAUGUCCAUGACUCACAAUGAUCUUUCAGGAUCAUUCGCUCUAAAUCUUGAUUUGAUGGAUGAGCAAACUGAAGCACAGAGAUUAAUUGCUUAAAGUUAUACAGGCAGCAAAUGACUGGGACUGAAUUCAAAUCCUGAUAUGUCUUUUGCCAAAACCUACAAUCUUUUCUUUACUCUGCUAUCUUCUUACACAUGAAAGGGAGAUAUUUAGGCCACAUUUGGUAUCCAAAACAGAGUAAGUGACUGUAGUCCUACAAAAACUCUGCUACUGUAAAACCCCAAGGCCAAAUAACAAGGAGGUUGUCAACUGAGAAUAGAGGUGACUUCUGUAAACUUCCUUCUUUCCCUCUUUCCUUCUCUCCUUCCUUCCUUCUCUCCCUCCAAUUCUUUGCCUUUUUUUAAUUUGCUUUUUUUUUGUAUGUUUUUACCACAUUCACUAGAUUCAUGAUCCGACACUUCUUUAACUGAAAUAUAGUUGACAGACAAUAUCAUGUUAGCUUGGGUCUACCGCAUAGUGAUUUGAUACUUGCAAACGUUAUGAAAUGAUCACCGUGAUAAUUCUGGUAAUCAUCUGUCUUCAUCCAAAGUUAUUACAAUAUUAUUGACCGUAUUCCUUAAUCAUCUGACAUUUUAUUGAGAUCAAAACUCCAUGAUCAGUAUGGCCAGCCAAGUCCAGAUUAAAAAAAAAGAAGAAGAAAUGAAAUUGGCCAUUGGCACACACUGGGAACAUGAUAGGUAAAGAAUUUCUUUUCAUAAGAACAAGCUCAUGGU